This is a long non-coding RNA of Phymastichus coffea, 921 nucleotides long. RefSeq lists it as uncharacterized. The transcript is spliced from 3 exons. The record is from RefSeq and is a predicted model, not a curated record. Lineage: Eukaryota; Metazoa; Arthropoda; Insecta; Hymenoptera; Eulophidae.
CGAUAAUCAGUUUCGGCGGAAUGUUAGAUCAGGUGCCGGAAAACGUAAGAAGCCAAGUAAAUGAGAAAUCCACAGCACUACAUCAACUUGAUUACUUACGUACAAAGAUAGUGCAGAAUUGAACCUUAAGAACGAUUAUGUUUUGUAGAUGAGGAUAAUGUCGACUCGGAUGGUCCAGACAACCUUGAAUCACCCGCAGAAUUAAAGCGUUUAGGAAAAUCCUCUGAAAAUAACAUGGUUUAUAUUGAACUAGGUAAAUUUUACAGUAAAUUUUUAUAUGAAUUGGCGCAAAGAAAAAGUGUUUCCAUGUACUCGAGAUUUCUACUCAACUGCUAUUACAAUCAAUCUCGGAGCACGUUAAGCAGCGACUUAUAGACCAUUUAGAGUAACUAGCUAGUUUUAAGAUAUGCUUGCAAGCUCUUCUAUCUUAAUAAUUGCGCCUACACUAAAAUUUCUGUUAUCGUGUAUUUUAUUAUGUUUAUUAAUUUGUUGGUUUGAUGACUAUGUCUGUACAGUUUUUAUAGCUCUAAUCUAUUGUGUUAUAUGUACUGUUUUUUAUUGGAGUUACCUGCGCGCGCGACACAAAAACAUGUAAGUGCAUAGGGCAAUUCGCGUCGAAAGCACAAUACUUUUUUGUUCCUUUUCAAAUAAAUAAUCAGGUUGGAGUUUGAUUGCACGUUGGUGUACACAGAACGUUCAACUACCACCGCACAGGUUCGAAAGUAAAUUGUUUGUUGUUCUUCGUGUCGCGCCGGCUUGUCACCUAACCAUAACAGGAAUCAACGACUUUGUAAAAUUAAUUUAUCAAAAACUGGUUAUAGAGUUGCCUCCGACAUAGACGUAUUCAGAGAAUAGUUAUUUACUAUAUAGAAAUAAUUGACUCCCCGAGUCAUUUCAUCGGUUGUAAAGUAACAAUCCAAA